This 254-nucleotide ribosomal RNA is filed under the name uncultured bacterium. Its description in RNAcentral is "partial 16S ribosomal RNA". It matches the Rfam family "Bacterial small subunit ribosomal RNA", at positions 524 to 776 of the family's 1533-position model. The record is from RNAcentral.
UACGGGGGGAGCAAGCGUUGUUCGGAUUUACUGGGCGUAAAGGGCGCGUAGGCGGCCUCCGCAAGUCAAUUGUGAAAUCUCCGGGCUUAACCCGGAAAGGUCAACUGAUACUGCGGGGCUAGAGUGCGGAAGGGGCAACUGGAAUUCUCGGUGUAGCGGUGAAAUGCGUAGAUAUCGAGAGGAACACCUGCGGCGAAGGCGGGUUGCUGGGCCGACACUGACGCUGAGGCGCGAAAGCUAGGGGAGCGAACGGG